CAGUCGAGGGGCAGCACGGGUAGCAAUACCUGGUGGCGACCGGCAAACGGGUGCGGAACACGUACGCAACUUUCCUUCAAGUGAGGAAUAGCCCAGGGAAACUUGGAUUAAUACCUCGUAAUAUUAUGAAGUGGCAUCACUUUAUAAUUAUAGCUCCGGCGCUUGAAGAUGGGCGUGCGCCUGAUUAGGUAGUUGGCGGGGUAACGGCCCACCAAGCCUACGAUCAGUAACUGGUGUGAGAGCACGACCAGUCACACGGGCACUGAGACACGGGCCCGACUCCUACGGGAGGCAGCAGUAAGGAAUAUUGGGCAAUGGACGCAAGUCUGACCCAGCCAUGCCGCGUGGAGGAUGAAGGUCCUCUGGAUUGUAAACUUCUUUUAUCUGGGAAGAAAUCCAUAUUUUCUAAUGUGGUUGACGGUACCAGAUGAAUAAGCACCGGCUAACUCCGUGCCAGCAGCCGCGGUAAUACGGAGGGUGCAAGCGUUAUCCGGAUUCACUGGGUUUAAAGGGUGCGUAGGUGGGCAGGUAAGUCAGUGGUGAAAUCUCCGGGCUUAACUCGGAAACUGCCGUUGAUACUAUCUGUCUUGAAUAUCGUGGAGGUUAGCGGAAUAUGUCAUGUAGCGGUGAAAUGCUUAGAUAUGACAUAGAACACCCAUUGCGAAGGCAGCUAACUACACGAUCAUUGACACUGAGGCACGAAAGCGUGGGGAGCAAACAGGAUUAGAUACCCUGGUAGUCCACGCCCUAAACGAUGGAUACUCGACAUCAGCGAUACACUGUUGGUGUCUGAGCGAAAGCAUUAAGU
This 808-nucleotide ribosomal RNA is filed under the name uncultured Sphingobacteriia bacterium. RNAcentral describes it as "bacterial SSU rRNA". It matches the Rfam family "Bacterial small subunit ribosomal RNA", at positions 59 to 865 of the family's 1533-position model. The record is from RNAcentral. Lineage: Bacteria; Pseudomonadati; Bacteroidota; Sphingobacteriia.